UACGUAGGGUGCGAGCGUUAAUCGGAAUUACUGGGCGUAAAGCGUGCGCAGGCGGUUAGCCGUGUCCGAUGUGAAAGCCCCGGGCUCAACCUGGGAAUGGCAUUGGAAACUGGCUGGCUGGAGUGUGGCAGAGGGGGGUGGAAUUCCACGUGUAGCAGUGAAAUGCGUAGAGAUGUGGAGGAACACCGAUGGCGAAGGCAGCCCCCUGGGCCAUUACUGACGCUGAGGAGCGAAAGCGUGGGGAGCGAACAGG
Molecule: ribosomal RNA, 253 nt
Filed under: uncultured bacterium
Lineage: Bacteria
Description: partial 16S ribosomal RNA
Rfam family: Bacterial small subunit ribosomal RNA
Source: RNAcentral